RNAcentral lists this small nuclear RNA (271 nucleotides) under Rattus norvegicus (Norway rat). RNAcentral's name for it is "7SK RNA". It matches the Rfam family "7SK RNA". From Rfam's summary of the family: 7SK was discovered as an abundant small nuclear RNA in the mid-70s but a possible function has only recently been suggested. Two independent studies have found that 7SK RNA binds the CDK9/cyclin T complex (known as elongation factor P-TEFb). Lineage: Eukaryota; Metazoa; Chordata; Mammalia; Rodentia; Muridae. The record is from Rfam by way of RNAcentral.
GUAAAUUAGACAACCUGGUAUGAAUGAUAUCUGCCACUCCAUCAACCUGCCUGUCCAGGUAGCUGUCUCCUUUCUCCUUAGCACUACAUAUGUGUCCUUCCCAGAACUGGACUCUUGGAGGAAGAGUUUGGCCUUCUCUAUGGAGUAGGAGCAAUCUGUGGUCCAGGAGGCAUGAGUAACUGUGCUUCUCUGCUAGAAACCCCAAACAAGUCCCCCAAAGUGGAUCAGGAAGGUUCCAUUCUACAAGGUUACCAAAUGGAGUGGCCUAUUU